AUUGAACGCUGGCGGCAGACCUAACACAUGCAAGUCGAGCGGAUGAAGGGAGCUUGCUCCUGGAUUCAGCGGCGGACGGGUGAGUAAUGCCUAGGAAUCUGCCUGGUAGUGGGGGAUAACGUCCGGAAACGGGCGCUAAUACCGCAUACGUCCUGAGGGAGAAAGUGGGGGAUCUUCGGACCUCACGCUAUCAGAUGAGCCUAGGUCGGAUUAGCUAGUUGGUGGGUUAAAGGCCUACCAAGGCGACGAUCCGUAACUGGUCUGAGAGGAUGAUCAGUCACACUGGAACUGAGACACGGUCCAGACUCCUACGGGAGGAAGCAGUGGGGAAUAUUGGACAAUGGGCGAAAGCAUGAUCCAGCCAUGCCGCGUGUGUGAAGAAGGUCUUCGGAUUGUAAAGCACUUUAAGUUGGGAGGAAGGGCAGUAAGUUAAUACCUUGCUGUUUUGACGUUACCAACAGAAUAAGCACCGGCUAACUUCGUG
This 484-nucleotide ribosomal RNA is filed under the name uncultured bacterium. RNAcentral's name for it is "partial 16S ribosomal RNA". It matches the Rfam family "Bacterial small subunit ribosomal RNA", at positions 30 to 507 of the family's 1533-position model. The record is from RNAcentral.